AUGUCCUGGAAAUACACAAAAAACACCCCAAAAAAAUUCCUGAAAACACACAAAAAACACCCCAAAAACACCCUGAAAACACCCCAAAAAACACCCCAAAAACACCCUGAAAACACCCCAAAAAACAUCCUGAAAACACCCCAAAAAACACCCAAAAAACAUCCUGAAAAUACACCAAAACACACCCCAAAAACACCCCAAAAAACAUCCUGGAAACACCCCAAAAACACCCCAAAAAACCACCACAAAAGCUACCCAAAAACACCCCAAAAACCAUCUCGAAAACACCCCAAAAACACACCAAAAACUACACAAAAAACACCCCAAAAACUCCAGAAAAGCACCCAAGAAACGCCCCAAAAACACCCUAAAAACUACUCAAAAACACCCCAAAAAACACCCCAGAAACUCCAGAAAAACACCCUAAAAACACCUCAAAAACACCCCAAAACCUCCCCAAAACCACCCCAAAAACUCCAGAAAAACACCCAAAAAACCCACCCUGGUUUUUUAGAGGAUUUCAGGUGUUUUUCCAGGGUUUUGGGGUGUUUUUGCGGUGUUUUUUCGGGUGUUUUUGGGGUUUUUCGGGUGUUUUUGAGGUGGUUUUUGUUGUGGAUUUUGGGUGGGUUUGGGUUGUUUUUUGGAGCGUUUUUCUGGAGUUUUUGGGGUGUUUUCUUGGGUGUUUUUUGGGUGUUUUUCGUGGUGUUUCUGGGAUGGUUUUGGGUGUUUUUUGAGUGUUUUUUUGCGUUUUUUGGGGUGUUUUUCAGGGUGGUUUUUGUGAUGUUUUUGAGAUGUUUUUGGGUGUUUUUCAGGGUGUUUUUGGGGUGUUCUGAGUGCGGUUUCUGGGAUGUUUUUGAGGUGAUUUUUGGGAGUUUUUGGGGUGUUCCUUGGGGUGGUUUUUGGAGUUUUUUGGGGUGUUUCUGUGUUGUUUUGGGGGUGUUCUUGGGGUGUUUUAUGGAGUUUUUUUGUUGUUUUUUUGUGUUGUUUUUGGGGUGUUUUAUGGAAUUUUUGGGGUGGUUUUUUUGGAUGUUUUUGGGGUGUUGCUGUCAGGUUCUUGGGGGGGUUUCCACACACCUGCCACGCCCUGUUGGUGCAGCCACGCCCCCAGGGCUGAUGCCCCGCCCCUGCCACACCCUGUUCUUCCUGCCACGCCCUGUUCUUCCUGCCACACCCUGUUCUUCCUGCCACGCCCCUGCCACGCCCUGUUCUUCCCAC
Molecule: long non-coding RNA, 1215 nt
Filed under: Cyanistes caeruleus (blue tit)
Lineage: Eukaryota; Metazoa; Chordata; Aves; Passeriformes; Paridae
Description: lncRNA (ENSCCEG00000005748.1)
Source: RNAcentral